AGGCAUGCAGUCGACGAUCCUUGUACUUGUAUAAGGAGAGUGGCAAACGGGGUAGCAACAGGUAGGAACGUACCCACAAGUCAGGAAUAACUGCGAGAAAUCGUAGCUAAUACCUGAUAGUCUCUACGGAGUAAAGAUUUAUCGCUUGUGGAACGGCCUGCUUAGUAUCAGCUUGUUGGUAGUGUAAUAGACUACCAAGGCUAUGACGCUUAGGGGAGGUGAGAGCCUGACCCCCACCAUUGGGACUGCGACACGGCCCAAACUCCUACGGGAGGCUGCAGUCGAGAAUCUUCCGCAAUGCACGAAAGUGUGACGGAGCGACGCCGCGUGAUGGACGAAGUGCUUCGGUAUGUAAACAUCUUUUAUAAGUGAAGAAGUAUAUUGACAUUAGCUUAUGAAUAAGGGGCUCCUAAUCUCGUGCCAGCAGGAGCGGUAAUACGAGAGCCCCAAGCGUUAUCCGGAAUUACUGGGCGUAAAGGGUCCGUAGGUGGUUGUAUUAGUCGGUCGUUAAAGACCCAAGCUCAACUUGGGGAAGGCGACCGAAACGGUACGACUUGAGUAUGUGAGGGGUGAACGGAACUCAAGGUGUAGGGGUGAAAUCCGUUGAUAUCUUGGGGAACACCAAAAGCGAAGGCAGUUCACUGGCACAUUACUGACACUGAGGGACGAAACCCUGGGUAGCGAAUGGGAU
This 691-nucleotide ribosomal RNA is filed under the name uncultured bacterium. Its description in RNAcentral is "bacterial SSU rRNA". It matches the Rfam family "Bacterial small subunit ribosomal RNA", at positions 51 to 778 of the family's 1533-position model. The record is from RNAcentral.